This 323-nucleotide long non-coding RNA is filed under the name Nicotiana benthamiana. RNAcentral describes it as "long non-coding RNA (NBEN_LNC007943)". The record is from RNAcentral. Lineage: Eukaryota; Viridiplantae; Streptophyta; Magnoliopsida; Solanales; Solanaceae.
GAAUGUGGUUUCCUCUUAUGCUGCAAACACGCUUCCUGUGGUCUACGACAGAGGUCUUAUCGGAACAUUCCAUGACUGGUAAUUCAGAUUUUGCUUGCGAAAUUGAAGCCUAAACUGCAGCAGUUGAUCGAUUCAUUUGUAACUGUGUCUUGUUGUUGUUAUAUAGGUGUGAGGCCUUCUCAACGUAUCCUCGUCGAUUUUGCUUGCAAAAUUGAAGCCUAAACUGCAGCAGUUGAUCGAUUCAUUUGUAACUUUGUCUCUUUGUUGUUAUAUAGGUGUGAGGCCUUCUCAACGUAUCCUCGAACAUAUGAUCUCCUUCACCU